CCGGCGCACGGGUGAGUAACACGUAUCCAACCUGCCGUCUACUCUUGGCCAGCCUUCUGAAAGGAAGAUUAAUCCAGGAUGGCAUCAUGAGUUCACAUGUCCGCAUGAUUAAAGGUAUUUUCCGGUAGACGAUGGGGAUGCGUUCCAUUAGAUAGUAGGCGGGGUAACGGCCCACCUAGUCAACGAUGGGUAGGGGUUCUGAGAGGAAGGUCCCCCACAUUGGAACUGAGACACGGUCCAA
This 241-nucleotide ribosomal RNA is filed under the name uncultured bacterium. RNAcentral's name for it is "partial 16S ribosomal RNA". It matches the Rfam family "Bacterial small subunit ribosomal RNA", at positions 95 to 334 of the family's 1533-position model. The record is from RNAcentral.